Molecule: ribosomal RNA, 1392 nt
Filed under: Curtobacterium luteum
Lineage: Bacteria; Bacillati; Actinomycetota; Actinomycetes; Micrococcales; Microbacteriaceae
Description: bacterial SSU rRNA
Rfam family: Bacterial small subunit ribosomal RNA
Source: RNAcentral
AACAUGCAGUCGAACGGUGAAGCCAAGCUUGCUUGGUGGAUCAGUGGCGAACGGGUGAGUAACACGUGAGCAACCUGCCCUGGACUCUGGGAUAAGCGCUGGAAACGGCGUCUAAUACUGGAUAUGAGACGUGAUCGCAUGGUCGUGUUUGGAAAGAUUUUUCGGUCUGGGAUGGGCUCGCGGCCUAUCAGCUUGUUGGUGAGGUAAUGGCUCACCAAGGCGUCGACGGGUAGCCGGCCUGAGAGGGUGACCGGCCACACUGGGACUGAGACACGGCCCAGACUCCUACGGGAGGCAGCAGUGGGGAAUAUUGCACAAUGGGCGGAAGCCUGAUGCAGCAACGCCGCGUGAGGGAUGACGGCCUUCGGGUUGUAAACCUCUUUUAGCAGGGAAGAAGCGAAAGUGACGGUACCUGCAGAAAAAGCGCCGGCUAACUACGUGCCAGCAGCCGCGGUAAUACGUAGGGUGCAAGCGUUGUCCGGAAUUAUUGGGCGUAAAGAGCUCGUAGGCGGUUUGUCGCGUCUGCUGUGAAAUCCCGAGGCUCAACCUCGGGCUUGCAGUGGGUACGGGCAGACUAGAGUGCGGUAGGGGAGAUUGGAAUUCCUGGUGUAGCGGUGGAAUGCGCAGAUAUCAGGAGGAACACCGAUGGCGAAGGCAGAUCUCUGGGCCGUAACUGACGCUGAGGAGCGAAAGCGUGGGGAGCGAACAGGAUUAGAUACCCUGGUAGUCCACGCCGUAAACGUUGGGCGCUAGAUGUAGGGACCUUUCCACGGUUUCUGUGUCGUAGCUAACGCAUUAAGCGCCCCGCCUGGGGAGUACGGCCGCAAGGCUAAAACUCAAAGGAAUUGACGGGGGCCCGCACAAGCGGCGGAGCAUGCGGAUUAAUUCGAUGCAACGCGAAGAACCUUACCAAGGCUUGACAUACACCGGAAACGGCCAGAGAUGGUCGCCCCCUUGUGGUCGGUGUACAGGUGGUGCAUGGUUGUCGUCAGCUCGUGUCGUGAGAUGUUGGGUUAAGUCCCGCAACGAGCGCAACCCUCGUUCUAUGUUGCCAGCGCGUUAUGGCGGGGACUCAUAGGAGACUGCCGGGGUCAACUCGGAGGAAGGUGGGGAUGACGUCAAAUCAUCAUGCCCCUUAUGUCUUGGGCUUCACGCAUGCUACAAUGGCCGGUACAAAGGGCUGCGAUACCGUAAGGUGGAGCGAAUCCCAAAAAGCCGGUCUCAGUUCGGAUUGAGGUCUGCAACUCGACCUCAUGAAGUCGGAGUCGCUAGUAAUCGCAGAUCAGCAACGCUGCGGUGAAUACGUUCCCGGGCCUUGUACACACCGCCCGUCGGAGUCAUGAAAGUCGGUAACACCCGAAGCCGGUGGCCUAACCCUUGUGGAAGGAGCCG